RNAcentral lists this ribosomal RNA (500 nucleotides) under uncultured bacterium. RNAcentral describes it as "partial 16S ribosomal RNA". It matches the Rfam family "Bacterial small subunit ribosomal RNA", at positions 29 to 523 of the family's 1533-position model. The record is from RNAcentral.
AUUGAACGCUGGCGGCAUGCCUUACACAUGCAAGUCGGACGGCAGCACGGGAGCAAUCCUGGUGGCGAGUGGCGAACGGGUGAGUAAAGUAUCGGAACGUGCCCAGUCGUGGGGGAUAACGUAGCGAAAGUUACGCUAAUACCGCAUACGAUCUAUGGAUGAAAGCGGGGGAUCGCAAGACCUCGCGCGAUUGGAGCGGCCGAUAUCAGAUUAGGUAGUUGGUGGGGUAAAGGCUCACCAAGCCGACGAUCUGUAGCUGGUCUGAGAGGACGACCAGCCACAAGGGGACUGAGACACGGCCCAGACUCCUACGGGAGGCAGCAGGGGGGAAUUUUGGACAAUGGGCGAAAGCCUGAUCCAGCCAUGCCGCGUGCAGGAUGAAGGCCUUCGGGUUGUAAACUGCUUUUGUACGGAACGAAAAGGUUUGGCCUAAUAAGCUGAGCUCAUGACGGUACCGUAAGAAUAAGCACCGGCUAACUACGUGCCAGCCGCCGCCGUAA